GCUUUAAAACAAGCUGGAAUGUGGAGGAGUUUCAUUCCAGGUUGGUGUCUUUUGAAAUAUAUUAUCACCUCUCAAACUGAAAAAUCACAUGUGACAAAUAAUUCAUCUGCUUUGAUUAAGACAUCAGAUUAUUCCUCUUUACAGCUUUUAACAAUCUCUACACAUCUUCUACAAUGAUGUUUCACUCUUAUUUAAAGCAGCUUAACUGAGUUUUUUAUUUUCCAUUGCAUUUGGCGGCCGCUAUGGACAAAAGUGGUAGUGUUUUGCCGGUGUUUCAUCUCCUCAGAUCCAUAUAGUUAUAAGGAUCAGGACUCUGAAUAGACCAAGCAUAGAGCUGAGAUGUAAUGACUUUACUCUCAUAAUGUAAUGAUUGUAUCCUUGUAAGAAAAUGAUUUAACUCUCAACUUUAGUCUUGAAAGAAAUAAUCUUUAAAAUAAAAAUUUUAAAGAUUACUACCCUAAGUUUUCUAUACCCAAACCUACCCAAGCCUGCACUGAGAUGAUCCCCUCACAAAAGUGUGAGGCGUAUGUCCUCACAGUUUUCAGAUCAGACUAAGCUUAUUCAGAUGUUCUUCAAAAAAAAAAAAAAAAAAAAAAAAACGUAAAGAGAGCUACCAAAUCCUGGCAAGGAAAAAAGUGGAUUCAUGAACUCAGAAUCAGAUGAAACAUUUUUAACAACCAGGCCCUCAAAACUGACUUGGUAAUUUUUAUUAAGCUGAAUAAAAAUGGAGGUGAAACUAGAUGAAAAGGAAAGUGAAAAAGCUUCUCUUCGGUUAUUUUUCUUGGUCCCCAAUCGACAGAGUGAUUUUUAUCAGCGAACAUCAGAAUGUCGGAAAGGAGCGUGAGUCAUGGGGUAAACUGUUUCAUCUCACGUUCACCAUUAAAGUACUUAUAGUAAACCUGAUCCUUAACUCAAAGUAAAAAGAAUGACAAACUCUCCAUUAGAGACCAACGUUCAUGGAAAUUCCCGACAACAAGCAGCAGAGGAAGAGGCACACAAUAUUAGAGCUGAAUGACUGCGGAGAAGAAAUCCCACUUUACUCUGAUUUCCUGCUUAGGUACUUUCAGGUUAGAGGCUGAUUUAAAGCUGCAGUCACUCUUAGUGAGCUCUUUAAAGCGAUCUGGUUUUGGUUUCAGAAUCACUCAUUUUUUUAAAGAUUAUUAAAUAUUAACCGGGUAAACUGCUCACUGUCAGAUCUUUUUAUGUCCAGAACAGUUUAAUGACAAAAGGUUGCCAAUCCCUCACCAUAAACCAGCCUGAGUCUCCAGUUAGCUUCUUUACUAUGGUGGACGUAAAGGUAAAGGCUAAUGAAAUCUGUUCUACUGUUGAGCCAGUCUGUAUCCUUUUACACUAUUUUCAGAGCCUGUGAAACAUCUAGAAGAGUUUUGCCAAAAUAGUUCAACAAACUCACUGAAUUUGACUUUUGAACAUGAAACUUUCAAACUGCUUUCAGAGUUGACACAAACUUUCAUGAUGGGUGUCGGCGAGACAUUACAGCUUUUCAUCAGCUAAAGUAGUCACAGUUUAGCUGAAAACAUCCCAAAAAAACAACUUUCAAGAGUAAGUCUCAUUCAUGAAUUCUAUUCUUUUAUCGAUAAAGACAAUGCAAGUUUCGUAGUAUAACCUCCAACCAAACAAGCUGAAGUCACUGAAACUGUAGAUGUUUAUAGUUUCCAGCUGCUGCUCACUUUAUAAAGGCUUUUGGUUGAUUAAACGGAGAAGAAAGAUAAAAAUUACUGGUAGGGGAGACUGGGGCAAAUUGAGCCAAAGGAUAAGUUGAGCCACCCCCUGUUGCUUGGAAAUAUGACUGUUAUUUAGGGAGAGAGAAGGUGAGGGAGGGCUGAGGUGGAGAGUGGGGGGUGGUAGUAGGGAUACGGCUCAACUUACCCCACUUCUAUGGUCAACUUACCCUAUACACGGGGUAAGUUGACCUGGGAGACCACUUUUUUUGGCAUGCUUAUAUUAUGUUUACACUCAUUCUGUUGGUUUGCAGGGAUGCACAACAUCUUGAAAUAUAUGCAGAUACACUAGUUAGAGAUAAAAAUAUGAUUGCCUUGACGUAGUGAUCGGAAAUAUGAAAAAUGGCUCAUCUUUCCCCACUCUCCCCUACUUAAAAUAUUCUGCAUAAAUGAAAAAUGUGUUAUAAAAUCUUUAAAAAGAAGAUUAACAUAACAGGGUUAGUUUUUCAAGUCUGUGGGUAGAUUUUGCAGGUGGGAAAUGGUCAGUCCGGACACACAAAUCUUUGGGGACCAUCCACAGUUCUGAACGGGCAUUGGCUUUUAUUAGUCAGGACCCCAAAUGUAAAUGUCUUACCUCUUUUAUAGGAUGUACUGCUGGUCAUUACAGGUAGUUACACAAAAAGCUGCACCUAAACUUUAACUCGAUGGCUCUUUUAAGGGACAAAUGCACAGGGUACAUGAGCAAAGUAGACCAUGUUGGAGGGUUGUUGACCUUAACAUGAUGUUUUUAUCAUUUUUGUGUUGACAGUUCACAGGAACUCCUUAUUUGUUCUGGCAGCAGCUUCACUUUGCAAUUCCGAAACUUAACCUUCAAAUAUCUUCAAUGGCAAAAUGUUCGUUUGAGUCUAAGUCCAAGUCCAAGUCAACAUACUUGAUUAUUUCAACGUAAAGACACACUCUUACUCAACAAAAGGUGUGUAAGUGUAGAGAGGUACCACGGGGAAUACCUGUCAUUGUUUCGAAAAGGAAAGUGAACUAGCAUUCAAGUGCUACUGCGUCACAAAUGUCAUUGUUGUACAAUGGGCAUGAAUCACUCAACACCAAAACCUCCUGUGCAGCUGGAGGUUUAGAAACAAACACAUCACACUGCAGAUACCAUGGAAGUCCCAAAGACUUACCGGUAAGCUCGGCCUGUGUCAGCUCAGGUCAGAAUGAUUAUGUAAAGUUUGUUAAGAGGUUAAAUGUCGUGUCUUUUCUGGACAGCAGCAAUGUGCUGAGGAGACCUAAUGACAAACUGAAGGACAGCUGUUGUGAGCUCUCUAGUGUAAAAGUGGAUACUUGGUCUGAUAGUGGCUCCUGAAAGACCUUAUAAGGUCUCCUGGAUUUAGCAUCUGAGGGUCUCAAAGCCAGUAUCAGAGCACACAUAAGACUGACCAACAUUAGGAAGAACUUAUCUAACAAUGUAAAACUACUUGUGUGUCAUAAAUAAUGAGAUGUAAUGAAGAGAAGAGGGUUGGGGCCAAUAAAUAGGAUAGAAACAGUUAAGUCAAUUUUUUUUCCAUACAACUUCGACUUUUAUCUUACAAGUGAAAAGUUAAAACUCUGGCUUUUUUCUUAAACUCAAAAAAUGUUCCUAAUUUUCUCACUUUUUCCAAAAAAGGUAAUUUUUUGAAAAAUGUUUAAAAUCAGAAUUCUGAAGAAAAAAAGAAAAAAAUGUGACUUUAAACUAAGAAAUAUGACUCGAAACAAUCAAUAUGUUUAGAAAAAAAAGUCAGACAAUAGUACCUGGAAAUUAGUCCUGAUUUUGAAUUUGGCUUCAAAAUUCAGGACAAAAGUUGCAAUCUUAAGUCGAAAGUAAAGCUUCUUACUUUUGACCCAGAACUGUGAGAUAAAAAUGUGCUAUUUUUUUUCUUGGAAGUUUGUAGAUACGCUGUCAUGAAAUUUUGUUAAUACUUGAGUGAAAACUGGAGGCCAAAUCAAGGAUGUAUGUAUUAAUUAGCAACAGUUUUUAGUAAUAUCAGAUAUGUCACAAAAACAAUAGGAUCUAGCUCAAAACUUUAUGGUGCAUCUCAGUAUGAAAUGAUAUGUUCCACAUUGUGUAUUAAUUAAUUAUUAAUUGAUGCCUGCUCUGUUUUAACCCUGGGAUCUUUGCUGCUGCUCUCCCUCCACAUUUACAUGUGUACAUAUAUGAUGUAGGGGAAGUGUGAGUCUGGGAUAAAUGGUUUAAACUUGGCCUUAAUGAAACAACAUCUUUACCAUCAAUCCAGUGGCAGAAGUCACAGGCGCAGGUUAAUGAGUUCAGACUAGAUGACUUGGUGUCACUGUAACAUGUUUCUGUUCAUUUUUUUCUCUCCUUUGCAGAGCAGGAAUUUUCUCUCUCAUUACCAGCCUGCUUGUCUCAGUGGGACAUUCCUCCUCCUUCUCCUCCUCCUCCUUCUCUUCCAUCUCCUCUUGGUCUCUCCUGUUAGAAGCUGCACUGCAGAGCGUCACCUCUCAUUUGUCUCUGAAACAAUGGCACAGUUAUAUAACCACAUUCUUCACAUACUUUCCCCAAAAAAUUGUUUUUAACGAGACAGACUUUCAACCUUCAAAGUAAGUUUUGUUCCUGCAGAGUCAGACUGGGAUCUAACCAGUACUCCCAGUCAAUCUUCUGACACUGAGUGGACGUUCAUCAUACAGCUCUCUCACAGAAAUGUAAAAGGACUAAACUGUGGCGGUACUGUCUUAGACCAUCAAGUUCAUUUGAGUCCAAUUUGGUCCAGUUUAGCCUCAAUCUCUGAAAGUGGAGGGACAACCAAUUUGCAACCAUGACAACAGAAGACGUGUCAGGAAUUAAUAACGCAUUAUGGUGUGUUUUAAUGCACGAUUUUGUCAUAAAAAAGUCUAUGUUUUUAAAGGAGACUUUUCAUUUGAAUAAGUGUCUGUAUCCAGCUGCAUGCCUACAAAGCUUCAGAGAAAUUCAAGUGUUUGACCUGUUUGUUGGUGAGGGUAAAUCAGGAGUAGACACCUUCAUAUGCAGCUUUUACUUAUCUCACAAUCAUUUAUCUGCAGCUCUCUCUAAAUUGUUGUUUUUAGGGUCUGUUUUUAAUCGACAGGGAAAAAUAAUCUGUGGUUCACUUAGGACCAGAAAACUGUAAUCAAUGUGUCUGAACGUCUAAAUCAGUUUCAUUCUGACAUUAUUAUGAUGCUGCUGUAGGUAUAAAUGUGUGCAAAGAGGCAAAUGUAGUUUGAUUUCAUUCAUUGAUUGAUUCACAUCUUAACAACAAGAAAACAAUGAACAACAAAUGCUAAAACAUUUGGAGCCCCAAAAGGCUGAUGAAGAUGCCUUUCCUCUAAAACAGAGCUAAAAUAAGCAGCAGUGCAGAUCAGUUAAAAAGGAGCAAUGACAUGUUUAUUCCUUUAUAAGACAACUUUGUUAAGAAAGAAAACUUUCCAGAUGCUUUUUGAAGUAUGACAUAAGUUUGCUGAUGAUAGAAAUGGAGGUACAUUGGUCCACAGAGAUGCUCCUCUGUACUUUUGUGCAAGUUGAUGGAUGGUAAAAGUCCUCAAAGUGUUGUAAAUAAGUGAACGUCUGAUGAAGACUUGAAAAAAUACUGGACUAUAGGUGUACAUAUUUAUACAUUAACACACAGGUUUGCUUCCUGAAUCAGUGCACAAAAAUUUCGUGCAACACAGCAAGUGUCAUCAGCAAAUAAUUAAGCUAAAGCACAUUUACACAUCUUGUACAUAAGAAACAAUAGAUGUCCAAGGGUUAAAACCCUGGGGAACCCCAUGCAUCAGUUUGGCUCUAAGUGAGUCAUGCCCAUCUACAGAAAUUUACUGUUCCUUGUUGUUUUAAGUAAUUCUCCAAUAGUUUUAAAGCAGCACAAUGCUUUGCAAAAAAUCAUCACUCUGAAAACCACGUUAAUGAUUGUACAGUUUGCUGCUAUUCAAAUGUUUUUAAACUCCUAAAUAAACAAGUUCUACAAGAAUUUGAACAAAACAGAUGCAUAAAUUACCUGUUUACUGUCUCCUAACCUGCUCUGCCAUUGUGAUUGUCCUGCUGUACUUACCCACCUGUCACCUGUCACCUGCUUCCUGCUACCUCAUACCAAGCAUACUUUCAUUUACAGCAGAAGAAAACCAAAAGUGACCAAGCAGGUGGAAGAAAGGCAAUUCCGAGAAAUGAAGAUGGAGAUCAGGGCAGUGUCACUGUGAUGGGAAGGACGACAGGUGCUUUUCAGGAUCACGAUGGGACGCCUCAGGUGACAUGGGCAGGUUUUAUUGUGGGUUGAAGAAACUCAGUCACAGUCUUACCAGCAGAUGGUGC
This is a non-coding RNA of Xyrichtys novacula (pearly razorfish), 5988 nucleotides long. The record is from the annotation of a GenBank genome assembly. NCBI's taxonomy places the organism in Eukaryota, Metazoa, Chordata, Actinopteri, Labriformes, Labridae.